RNAcentral lists this ribosomal RNA (300 nucleotides) under uncultured bacterium. RNAcentral describes it as "bacterial SSU rRNA". It matches the Rfam family "Bacterial small subunit ribosomal RNA", at positions 28 to 295 of the family's 1533-position model. The record is from RNAcentral.
GACGAACGCUGGCGGCGUGCCCAAUACAUGCAAGUCGAACGCACUCUCGUUUAGAUUGAAGGAGCUUGCUCCUGAUUGAUAAACAUUUGAGUGAGUGGCGGACGGGUGAGUAACACGUGGGUAACCUGCCCUAAAGUGGGGGAUAACAUUUGGAAACAGAUGCUAAUACCGCAUAAAACCUAACACCGCAUGGUGUAGGGUUGAAAGAUGGUUUCGGCUAUCACUUUGGGAUGGACCCGCGGUGCAUUAGUUAGUGGUGAGGUAAAGGCUCACCAAGACCGUGAUGCAUAGCCGACCUAA